GACGAACGCUGGCGGCGUGCCUAAUACAUGCAAGUCGAACGCAUUUUCUUUCACCGUAGCUUGCUACACCGAAAGAAAAUGAGUGGCGAACGGGUGAGUAACACGUGAGUAACCUGCCCCCUUCUUCUGGAUAACUGCCUGAAAGGGUAGCUAAUACGGGAUAUUCUGGCCUGCUCGCAUGGGUGGGUUUGGAAAGGUUUUUUUCUGGUGGGGGAUGGACUCGCGGCCUAUCAGCUUGUUGGUGGGGUAAUGGCCUACCAAGGCGACGACGGGUAGCCGGCCUGAGAGGGUGACCGGCCACACUGGGACUGAGACACGGCCCAG
RNAcentral lists this ribosomal RNA (324 nucleotides) under uncultured bacterium. RNAcentral's name for it is "bacterial SSU rRNA". It matches the Rfam family "Bacterial small subunit ribosomal RNA", at positions 28 to 334 of the family's 1533-position model. The record is from RNAcentral.